RNAcentral lists this ribosomal RNA (477 nucleotides) under uncultured bacterium. RNAcentral describes it as "bacterial SSU rRNA". It matches the Rfam family "Bacterial small subunit ribosomal RNA", at positions 903 to 1397 of the family's 1533-position model. The record is from RNAcentral.
AAAUGAAUAGACGGGGACCCGCACAAGCGGUGGAGCGUGUGGUUUAAUUCGAUGCUAAGCGAAGGACCUUACCAAGGUUUGACAUGCUAAUGGUAGUGAAUUGAAAGAGGAACGACCACACUAUGUGUGGAGUUAGCACAGGUGGUGCACGGCCGUCGUCAGCUCGUGUCGUGAGGUGUUGGGUUAAGUCCCGCAACGAGCGCAACCCCUGCUCUUAGUUACCAGCGGUAAGGCCGGGUACUCUAGGAGGAAGGGGGGGAUGAAGUCAGGUAUCGUGCCCCUUAUAUCUUGGGCGACACACGCGCUACAAUGGGUUGGACAGAAGGGACCAAGACAGCGAUGUGGAGGAAAUCCUCAAACCAACCCCCAGUUCAGAUUGCAGGCUGCAACCCGCCUGCAUGAAGCCGGAAUCGCUAGUAAUCGCAGAUCAGCCAAGCUGCGGUGAAUACGUUCCCGGGUCUUGUACACACCGCCCGU